UUGUCAGCCAUCUAAACUGUAAUUCAGUGGGCAAUUUGAUUGACGCCAAAUCAGAAGGGGCGGGGCUUAGGACAUGCGUCGGUACGGAAGGCUAGGUGGUAGGAGGAAGCAGACGACACAAUGGCAGAAGAAACCCUCGGUGCAUUCGCCAUAGCGAAGAUCGCCCUAGCAGGCGCCUCGGCGGGGUUUGCCUUGGGGGACGCGGCGCUGAUGGCGGUGGACCCUGGCCUGAUCGCCAACGGCCCUCUGGGCAGCGCCACGGGCCUGGCCAUGGUGGCGGACAAGGUGGGCUCCACGGGCGUGGCCGGCGUGAUGGCGAGCCUCGUGUUCGCCGCCACCUUCUUCUCCCUGGGCUUCGGCUUCAACCUCGCCUCCCUGCUGAUGUCCAUCCUGGCGCGGUGCGGCGCGCCGCACGACGGCCGUCUGACGGACGGCGCGGCCGGAGCCUUCACCGCCGUGGGGGCGGUGGCGGCCGGCUUACUGGGCGGCCUGGCCCCGGCGUGGUGCCUCCUGGGGGCCGGGUGCGUGCUGGUGCUGUCGACGUACGUCCGGACGGACGUGAACGAGACGGCCACCGCCCUGCUGGUCAUCUACGUCACGCUGCACGCCAACGCCGUGCUGGGCCGCAUGGGCGUCCUGCUGGGGCUGUUCGCCACGGCCAUGAGCGUCUCGUUCAUCGUGGGCCUCCGCAAGUUCCUGAGGCAGCGCUGGGCGCCGCCGCCGCCGUCGGACCGCCGGCCCGGCGGCCUGCUGGGGAAGCUGUCGCUGAGCGUGGUGGUCGUGGCCUUUCUGGGCUUCCCCAUCGGCCUGGGCAUCGGCGGGAAACCCGUGGUUGAAGCGGGCGCCGAUGGAGCGGCGGCGGCGGCGGGCGGGGAGGCGGAGGUGGCGUUGCUGCUGGAGGCGGUGUUCUGGGUGGGGGUCCUAUUCGCCCCCCUGCUGGGCGCCUCCCUGGGCACCAUGGGCGCCGUGGGCCUGGGGACCGAGGGCGCGGCCCGCACGGCCAUGGCGGCGGCGGCGGCGUCCUGCCUCGCCCUGGGCGUGGUCCUCCCGGCCUGCACGGGGGCGGGGUCCCGCAGCUGCCUGGGGGGGAUCCUGGGGGCGGCGGCGGCCACGGGGCUGGCCCUGGCGGCGUCCCGCGUGGCGUUGAAGGCGGAGCACCGGGCCACCAACGUGGUCCACGGCGCCGUGGUCGCCGGGGUGAUGCUGGGCGUGGGGUACGCGUCGUGGUCGUCGGCGGCGCCGUGGUACCAGCUCCUGGCGUCGGCCCUCACCGUGUCCCUCGUCGCCACCAUGGCGUUCUUCUGCGGGGCCCCCAGGAGCCCCUUUAACCUGCAGUACGGGCCGGGCACGGGCGCAGACCUGAUGAGGCAGCUCGGCAAGGAGACGGUUUCCACGGGAGCGGCGCCGUUCGGGGCCGGGGCCCUCGGGGCCGCCGCGCUGGGCACGGCGGCCCUCGGGAGCCUGGGGGCGGUGGGCGUGGCCAUCGCCGUCGCGCUGGCGCUCGGAAAGACUCUGAAGAGCAUGGCGGAGCAGCCGGUGAAGGCUGCGGCGGCCACGCACGACGACUGAGGGACGGGCGGACGGUUGGGCUGUUGGGACUGGAACGAACCAAUAGGUCUGAGAAUGAGGGGGAUACCACGCACUUGUUAAACGCACGGUCUCACUCACACACACAAUAUUUGUGUUUGAUUGUUUGUUUGUCUUUGUGGCGAUGCAUGUACACGCUUUUAAGCAUUAAUUUGUUUUCAAAUAAAAUUAUUAUUGUUGUUAUUCUUCACGUGAGAAUAAACGAAAAAAAAGAAAAUCAUCUGUUAUUUUUGUGAAAAUCUAAAUCCAGGGAAGAAUUUAUAUAUUGCUGGAUACUAUUCGAAUCAAGGAUACCAUAAGCGAUAACGAUAAAAAAAUGCUUAAUCACUUAUUAAAUUGGUAACUUAUAAAAUAAAUAUGUAAGACUCAAAUAUUACGGUAGAAGGUAGAACCUCUAAAUUUCACUUUUCUAUUACAAUGCUUCUAGUUCCUCUCUAGACCCACUUGCCUUCUGGCAGUUUGGUUUCAACAUGGCAACAGUAUCAAAGGUCUUGUUAUUUGAGACAAGUUGGUGUGGGCGGG
Molecule: long non-coding RNA, 2109 nt
Organism: Gadus morhua (Atlantic cod)
Lineage: Eukaryota; Metazoa; Chordata; Actinopteri; Gadiformes; Gadidae
Source: Ensembl